AGAGAAACUUCACAGUGUUUGAGAUAGAUGCAUUGAUGUUUUUACUGCUUUUCAUAUAUGACUGAUUAUCUUUAAUCUUUACUUAUUGAAUAAAUCUUAAGUAGGAUUAUUUGACUCACUGAAUAGCAGCAGACCUUUAUUUUCUCUUACUGUUAAAAGACCAAAGAAUCCUCUCCUCAGAAUUAAAAAUGGCUGAAAUUAAUAAACAGAUAUCUAAUUGGAAGAAACUACUGAAGAGACCUCUGACAUCAAACUCUUGUUUUGGAUUAAUCAUCUUUGGUUCGGAGAAGAUCGUGCAGUUUGGAUUUUUAUGUCCUUGCAGUGAAUUAAGUCCAUUGAUUGUUUCAUCAUUUUUUGUUGUUCCUGCAUUGAUAGCCUUCAUGCUUAUGUUUUACAUUCAAAUAAGCAUGUUCCAUCAACCCAUACUCAAUGCUAUCUUGUACAGUUUUAUUCCUAGCGCAUUUUGGGUCAUUUUGAUGUUAAUUGAUGGUCGAUACCUUGGCUGUAUAAAAGGACCCUCAUCAGGAAAGUAUGAAGUUCUUGACAACCCUUCAUUUCAGAGAUGGUGUAAUCCAAACUCAACUCAAGACUCAGUGAUCGACACACAGAACUGGUACUCUAAUUCUCAGGGCAUAGCAAUGGUGGUGGCAUUCGUAUUGGCUAGUCUUUAUUUUGUCAUCCUGCUCGUCAUCUACUGCCGCUGUAAUAAGAAUACAACAGAGACCACCACCAAAGAUUCUACCAAAGCUGGAAAAGAUUCUACCAAAGCUGGAAAAGAUUCUGCCGAAGCUGGAGAAUCUGAGGAGCUGAUCGAAGAGAAACCUCGUGAUAGACAAUGAUACACAGGAAAUCUUGGUUAAAGUUGGGGGUAAACUUUAUUUUGGAAUACAGGUCUUGCCGGACAGGAAUGAGUCUAAUUAUGAGCUGAGUAGUUUCAGGAAAUCUUAUCUUGAUCCACUCCAAUAGACUGUUUCCGCCCCCUAAGCAGUGCAGUAAAACUUCUGUUUAAAUAAAUGUGUUUUAUACAAGUGUAAUGAUGUGAAAACAAUGAUAUGAUUUAAGCUACAGUAUGCACUGAAAUACUUACCAUACUAUUUGUGAAAGUAUCACAUUCAUUGCUGUGUGUAUAAGUGUAAACAAAGCUUAAAUAAUCUUUAACUGUAUGUUUGUGUGUCUGAUAUAUUUUUUUUUUUACAAUGGGAACUAUAAUUUCUUAAACUUAGUAUUAAUUAGCACACCUAUCUAAAAGUAGAACUUGAUUUUGUAUAUAAUUUCAGAUUGUAAAAAUACAUUUAUCUUGAUUUUCAUAUGUUAUACUGCUUGUGGUCAACAGUUUCUAUUUAGUUGAAUUUAUAUUUGUGUAUUGUGUGUGUACACUCAAAAAUAAAGUACCUAACUGUACCUUUAGACGAACAAUGGAUGGUUUCUGGGUUGGUACCCUCAACGGUACUGCUGUUGUACCCUCAACAGUGGACAAUUAUUUCAAUCCUUGCAGUUUGUACUUUAUAAAAACAGGUUUGUUAAAUUAGGUGCAGUUAUCUCCAGCCGUGGUCCUCAAAGCCCACUAUUCUGCAGGUAAUAGAUUAUUUCCUGCUGCAACACACCUGAUUCAAAUUAAAUGGAUUUCUAACAACCUCUGCACAAGUCUGUUACUGAGCCAUUAAUGUGAGUCAGGUGUGCUGAUGCAGGGAAACAUUGAAAAUCUGCAGGACAGUGGGCCUUGAGGACCGGAGUUGGGGAUCCCUGAAUUAUGGUACAAGACAACCCCCAUAGGUACAAUACUGGUAUAUCUGCAGUACCACUGAGGGUGUCACACCAGUAUCCAAUCCUUUGUACUUCUAAAGGUAUAAUUAGAUACACUGUUGUAUUCAGUGUUGUUAAUAUUUGCCACUGUCUUUGCUGUGCUGCACACUUGUACCCUGGUGUUUUACCUGUUUACAGCUGCGUGGCAACUUUAGAGACUUAAAAAAUAAAUAUUUACUCCAUUUAUAAAUUUUAUUUUGCUGUUUUAGAUUACCCAUUCUGUCAAGUAAAUGGAAAAGUAAUGCUUAAGAAAAUAAAAAGUAAAACACA
Melanotaenia boesemani (Boeseman's rainbowfish) is the source of this 2073-nucleotide long non-coding RNA. RefSeq lists it as uncharacterized. Lineage: Eukaryota; Metazoa; Chordata; Actinopteri; Atheriniformes; Melanotaeniidae. The transcript is spliced from 3 exons. The record is from RefSeq and is a predicted model, not a curated record.